This 253-nucleotide ribosomal RNA is filed under the name uncultured bacterium. RNAcentral describes it as "partial 16S ribosomal RNA". It matches the Rfam family "Bacterial small subunit ribosomal RNA", at positions 524 to 776 of the family's 1533-position model. The record is from RNAcentral.
UACGUAGGGUGCAAGCGUUAUCCGGAAUUAUUGGGCGUAAAGAGCUCGUAGGCGGUUUGUCGCGUCUGCUGUGAAAACCCGGGGCUCAACCUCGGGCCUGCAGUGGGUACGGGCAGACUAGAGUGCGGUAGGGGAGAUUGGAAUUCCUGGUGUAGCGGUGGAAUGCGCAGAUAUCAGGAGGAACACCGAUGGCGAAGGCAGAUCUCUGGGCCGUAACUGACGCUGAGGAGCGAAAGCGUGGGGAGCGAACAGG